This 688-nucleotide ribosomal RNA is filed under the name uncultured crenarchaeote. RNAcentral describes it as "bacterial SSU rRNA". It matches the Rfam family "Archaeal small subunit ribosomal RNA", at positions 233 to 922 of the family's 1478-position model. The record is from RNAcentral. Lineage: Archaea; Thermoproteati; Thermoproteota.
UUGGUGAGGUAAUGGCCCACCAAGACUAUUACAGGUACGGGCUCUGAGAGGAGUAGCCCGGAGAUGGGUACUGAGACACGGACCCAGGCCCUAUGGGGCGCAGCAGGCGAGAAAACUUUGCAAUGUGCGAAAGCACGACAAGGUUAAUCCGAGUGAUUUCUGCUAAAGAGAUCUUUUGUUAGUCCUAGAAACACUAACGAAUAAGGGGUGGGCAAGUUCUGGUGUCAGCCGCCGCGGUAAAACCAGCACCUCAAGUGGUCAGGAUGAUUAUUGGGCCUAAAGCAUCCGUAGCCGGCUCUGUAAGUUUUCGGUUAAAUCUGUACGCUCAACGUACAGGCUGCCGGGAAUACUGCAGAACUAGGGAGUGGGAGAGGUAGACGGUACUCGGUAGGAAGUGGUAAAAUGCUUUGAUCUAUCGAUGACCACCUGUGGCGAAGGCGGUCUACCAGAACACGUCCGACGGUGAGGGAUGAAAGCUGGGGGAGCAAACCGGAUUAGAUACCCGGGUAGUCCCAGCUGUAAACUAUGCAAACUCAGUGAUGCAUUGGCUUGUGGCCAAUGCAGUGCUGCAGGGAAGCCGUUAAGUUUGCCGCCUGGGAAGUACGUACGCAAGUAUGAAACUUAAAGGAAUUGGCGGGGGAGCACCACAAGGGGUGAAGCCUGCGGUUCAAUUGGAUUCAACGCCGGA